GCCUGGGUAGCUCAGUGGUUUAGCAUCUGACUUUAGCUCAGGUUGUGAUUCUGGGGUCCUGGGAUCCAUUCCCAAGUCAGGCU
This 83-nucleotide transfer RNA is filed under the name Canis lupus familiaris (dog). It matches the Rfam family "tRNA". From Rfam's summary of the family: Transfer RNA (tRNA) molecules are approximately 80 nucleotides in length. Their secondary structure includes four short double-helical elements and three loops (D, anti-codon, and T loops). Further hydrogen bonds mediate the characteristic L-shaped molecular structure. tRNAs have two regions of fundamental functional importance: the anti-codon, which is responsible for specific mRNA codon recognition, and the 3' end, to which the tRNAs corresponding amino acid is attached (by aminoacyl-tRNA synthetases). tRNAs cope with the degeneracy of the genetic code in two manners: having more than one tRNA (with a specific anti-codon) for a particular amino acid; and 'wobble' base-pairing, i.e. permitting non-standard base-pairing at the 3rd anti-codon position. The record is from Rfam by way of RNAcentral. Lineage: Eukaryota; Metazoa; Chordata; Mammalia; Carnivora; Canidae. RNAcentral also lists the same sequence under 1 other name.